AACGAACGCUGGCGGCAUGCCUAACACAUGCAAGUCGAACGAGAUCUUCGGGUCUAGUGGCGCACGGGUGCGUAACGCGUGGGAAUCUGCCCUUUGGUUCGGAAUAACAGUUGGAAACGACUGCUAAUACCGGAUGAUGACGAAAGUCCAAAGAUUUAUCGCCAGAGGAUGAGCCCGCGUAGGAUUAGCUAGUUGGUGUGGUAAAGGCGCACCAAGGCGACGAUCCUUAGCUGGUCUGAGAGGAUGAUCAGCCACACUGGGACUGAGACACAGCCCAGACUCCUACGGGAGGCAGCAGUGGGGAAUAUUGGACAAUGGGCGAAAGCCUGAUCCAGCAAUGCCGCGUGAGUGAUGAAGGCCUUAGGGUUGUAAAGCUCUUUUACCCGGGAUGAUAAUGACAGUACCGGGAGAAUAAGCUCCGGCUAACUCCGUGCCAGCCGCCGCCAACA
This 449-nucleotide ribosomal RNA is filed under the name uncultured bacterium. Its description in RNAcentral is "partial 16S ribosomal RNA". It matches the Rfam family "Bacterial small subunit ribosomal RNA", at positions 29 to 523 of the family's 1533-position model. The record is from RNAcentral.